This 313-nucleotide ribosomal RNA is filed under the name uncultured Hyphomicrobiales bacterium. RNAcentral describes it as "bacterial SSU rRNA". It matches the Rfam family "Bacterial small subunit ribosomal RNA", at positions 20 to 365 of the family's 1533-position model. The record is from RNAcentral. Lineage: Bacteria; Pseudomonadati; Pseudomonadota; Alphaproteobacteria; Hyphomicrobiales.
UGGCUCAGAACGAACGCUGGCGGCAGGCCUAACACAUGCAAGUCGAGCGCCCCGCAAGGGGAGCGGCAGACGGGAGAGUAACACGUGGGAACGUACCCUUCAGUUCGGAACAACCCAGGGAAACUUGGGCUAAUACCGAAUACGUCCGUAAGGAGAAAGAUUUAUCGCUGAAGGAUCGGCCCGCGUCUGAUUAGCUAGUUGGUGAGGUAACGGCUCACGAAGGCUACGAUCAGUAGCUGGUCUGAGAGGAUGAUCAGCCUCACUGCGACUGAGACACGAACCAGACUCCUACUUUCCGCAGCAGUGGAAUCUU